CAGCCGCCGCGGGAAUACGGAGGGGGCUAGCGUUGUUCGGAAUUACUGGGCGUAAAGCGCGCGUAGGCGGCUUGGUAAGUUAGAGGUGAAAGCCUGGGGCUCAACCCCAGAAUUGCCUUUAAGACUGCCGAGCUAGUAGGUGAGAGAGGUAAGUGGAAUUCCGAGUGUAGAGGUGAAAUUCGUAGAUAUUCGGAAGAACACCAGUGGCGAAGGCGGCUUACUGGCUCAUUCUAGACGCUGAGGUGCGAAAGCGUGGGGAGCAAACAGGAUUAGAUACCCCUGUAGUCCCUGUCUCUUAUAA
RNAcentral lists this ribosomal RNA (301 nucleotides) under uncultured bacterium. Its description in RNAcentral is "partial 16S ribosomal RNA". It matches the Rfam family "Bacterial small subunit ribosomal RNA", at positions 509 to 809 of the family's 1533-position model. The record is from RNAcentral.